Molecule: ribosomal RNA, 316 nt
Filed under: uncultured eukaryote
Lineage: Eukaryota
Description: partial 18S ribosomal RNA
Rfam family: Eukaryotic small subunit ribosomal RNA
Source: RNAcentral
CCCUUAGAUGUCCUGGGCCGCACGCGCGUUACACUGAUGCAUUCAACGAGUACUACCUUGGCCGAGAGGCCUGGGCAAUCUUUUAAACGUGCAUCGUGAUAGGGAUAGAUUAUUGCAAUUAUUAAUCUUGAACGAGGAAUUCCUAGUAAACGCAAGUCAUUAACUUGCAUUGAUUGCGUCCCUGCCCUUUGUACACACCGCCCGUCGCACCUACCGAUUGAAUGGUCCGGUGAAGUCCUCGGACCCAGUUGAACCUCGAGUUGAACAGGGAAAGUUGACUAAAUCUUACCAUUUAGAGGAAGGUGAAGUCGUAACA